CUGGGCUCCCGGGUCGCUCUUGUCCGCUGGCUUCUGGAUCCCCUCGCAGACCCCUGUGCUGUCGUCCUCGCCCUGCUCUCUGCGAGCUCUUCGCAGAGGGAAGUGAGGCUUGAAGAAGCAACAGGAGACGCGCGCGGAGGAGGCGCCCAGCGCCCGAGCGGAUUUGCCAGCAGCUGUUGCUUUUUUAUGCCCCCCCCCCCUUUGGCGAGGGUAGGAAAUGAGCCAGACCAACACCGUGACAGGGCUGGUGUCUUUUGGAAAUAGGAAAUUCAGGGAAGAGAGGCAGAAAAAUAGGAAACAACGGAGCAUCAGCCACCUGCAACCUGCGUUCUUUGGGUGUGUUGGCAAUUAGCAUGAAUGGGAGCCAGAGGAAAGGGGAAGUGAAACUAACUCCCAGCAAGUGUUCAAUUAGCUGACUCUAUGUAAUGAUAGCAGAGCUUGCAAGAAUGGACAGAGAUCAGCUCCCCCACCAGGCACCUGUGUGUCAUGGCACACUUGUGGAGGUCAGAUGAC
This is a long non-coding RNA of Mastomys coucha (southern multimammate mouse), 513 nucleotides long. RefSeq lists it as uncharacterized. NCBI's taxonomy places the organism in Eukaryota, Metazoa, Chordata, Mammalia, Rodentia, Muridae. The record is from RefSeq and is a predicted model, not a curated record. The transcript is spliced from 3 exons.